This 253-nucleotide ribosomal RNA is filed under the name uncultured bacterium. RNAcentral describes it as "partial 16S ribosomal RNA". It matches the Rfam family "Bacterial small subunit ribosomal RNA", at positions 524 to 776 of the family's 1533-position model. The record is from RNAcentral.
UACGUAGGGUGCGAGCGUUGUCCGGAAUUACUGGGCGUAAAGAGCUCGUAGGUGGUUUGUCGCGUUGUCCGUGAAAACUCACAGCUUAACUGUGGGCGUGCGGGCGAUACGGGCAGACUGGAGUACUGCAGGGGAGACUGGAAUUCCUGGUGUAGCGGUGGAAUGCGCAGAUAUCAGGAGGAACACCGGUGGCGAAGGCGGGUCUCUGGGCAUUAACUGACGCUGAGGAGCGAAAGCGUGGGGAGCGAACAGG